CUUCAGACAUUUGACACCAGUUUAAGGGUUUUUUUUUGGGGGGGAGGGGAGAAAAUUUUACUGCCAAACUAUUAGAAAACAACAUAUUUCGUGUGCGGAUAUAGUGCUAUCACUAUAUUUCCUAUUUUCUGUUUUAAAUUUGGGACAGGGUCUUGCUAUGUAGUGCAGUUUGUAACUCAAACUCAAGAUCCAUUUGCCCCAGUCUCUGAGUGCUAGGAUUUUAUGUGUGCAACCAAGCUUAGCUUAUUUUCUAUUUUCAGGACUACAAAGGUACCUUGCACUUUGAGUGUGUGUGUGAGUAAAGCCCCAGUAGCAUAGGACAUCAUUAUUUUCUAUUUAAUAUGUAAAGUAUAUGUUUUACAUAUUUGAUGGUCGCUUGUGUUGGACAGUCUUUUUCUGGAGUCCAAAAUUUUUCCAAGAAUGACUUGAAAAAUCUUCCCUGUGCUUCUUCCACAAGUUCAGUUCCCAGAAGCUCUGCUUUAAAUAUGUAUUGCUCAUAAAAACGUCAUCUCCUGGUCUCCACUCUUCAUUAUGACCUCAGAUCUUCCUUCUUGAGAACAGACCUCUCCUUAUCGGGCUCCUAUCUCUUUUGAUCACUGAAAUCAUAGACAUAUCACUAUCUAGACCUAUCUUCACUUUCUUUCUGGAUCAGAUAAUAAGGCUUUGUAAUCUUCAAGGGGACUCUUUCACUUAAGCACCUGAUUCUAUCUCUCCUUGUCUCCCCUGAACAGGGGAAGAGAUUGCACGAUGCUCUGAUACUGAUUUUGAACAUGGAAGAUGUGGACAUGAGCCAAAGAAUGAGGCAACCACUAAAAGUUGGAAAAAACAAGUAAACAAAUUCUUCUUUAGACUCUUCAGAAGGAAAUAGCCCUUUAAACAGCCAAUCCUACUUCAAUAAGAUUGAACAGAGGCCUGGGGACAUAUCUCAGUGGGUAAAGUGCUUGCUGUGCAAAUGUAAGAACCUUUGUUCAGAUCCCCAUCACCCUAGUGGAAGCUGGGCAUGGAAGUGCAUACCUGUAACUAGUGCUGUUGGGCAGCCAUACAGCAACACCCCAACCCAAUGCUUCACAACCUUCCUAACGCUGCAACCCCUGAAUACAAUUCCGCAUGUUGUGGUGACCCCAACCAUAAAAUUAUUUUUAUUGCUAUUUCAUAACUGUAAUUUUGCUACUGUUAGCCUCCACACAGGCAUGUGCACACAUGGCGUGCAGCACACAUCCACAAAUAAAAAAGGAAUAUUUUCCACAAAUCCAGUAACUUUAUGUUGGUUCAAUCUGUUAAAUUUGUGGUAAUUUGUAACAGCCAAAGUAAGUCAUCAAAAAGGCAAGGUGGUAGGGCAUCUAAGUAGUUACAGAGUGAGGAUAGGUGUUUAGAAAGAAUUAUCAAAGAUAAUGGUCCCAAAGCUGAUGAGGAAGUGAGGUUGCUUCACGGAGAUAAUGGUCCAGAUGGAAGAGCAAUUAUCUGCAAGGUACACAGAGGAAGAA
RNAcentral lists this long non-coding RNA (1484 nucleotides) under Cricetulus griseus (Chinese hamster). Its description in RNAcentral is "lncRNA (ENSCGRG00015029489.1)". The record is from RNAcentral. Lineage: Eukaryota; Metazoa; Chordata; Mammalia; Rodentia; Cricetidae.